Molecule: ribosomal RNA, 43 nt
Filed under: Heterorhabditis indica
Lineage: Eukaryota; Metazoa; Nematoda; Chromadorea; Rhabditida; Heterorhabditidae
Description: partial 28S ribosomal RNA
Source: RNAcentral
CAACCUGAGCUCAGUCGUGAUUACCCGCUGAACUUAAGCAUAU